RNAcentral lists this ribosomal RNA (808 nucleotides) under Clostridioides difficile. RNAcentral describes it as "bacterial SSU rRNA". It matches the Rfam family "Bacterial small subunit ribosomal RNA", at positions 1 to 841 of the family's 1533-position model. Lineage: Bacteria; Bacillati; Bacillota; Clostridia; Peptostreptococcales; Peptostreptococcaceae. The record is from RNAcentral.
UUAUUUGAGAGUUUGAUCCUGGCUCAGGAUGAACGCUGGCGGCGUGCCUAACACAUGCAAGUUGAGCGAUUUACUUCGGUAAAGAGCGGCGGACGGGUGAGUAACGCGUGGGUAACCUACCCUGUACACACGGAUAACAUACCGAAAGGUAUGCUAAUACGGGAUAAUAUAUUUGAGAGGCAUCUCUUGAAUAUCAAAGGUGAGCCAGUACAGGAUGGACCCGCGUCUGAUUAGCUAGUUGGUAAGGUAACGGCUUACCAAGGCGACGAUCAGUAGCCGACCUGAGAGGGUGAUCGGCCACCUUGGAACUGAGACACGGUCCAAACUCCUACGGGAGGCAGCAGUGGGGAAUAUUGCACAAUGGGCGAAAGCCUGAUGCAGCAACGCCGCGUGAGUGAUGAAGGCCUUCGGGUCGUAAAACUCUGUCCUCAAGGAAGAUAAUGACGGUACUUGAGGAGGAAGCCCCGGCUAACUACGUGCCAGCAGCCGCGGUAAUACGUAGGGGGCUAGCGUUAUCCGGAUUUACUGGGCGUAAAGGGUGCGUAGGCGGUCUUUCAAGUCAGGAGUGAAAGGCUACGGCUCAACCGUAGUAAGCUCUUGAAACUGGGAGACUUGAGUGCAGGAGAGGAGAGUGGAAUUCCUAGUGUAGCGGUGAAAUGCGUAGAUAUUAGGAGGAACACCAGUUGCGAAGGCGGCUCUCUGGACUGUAACUGACGCUGAGGCACGAAAGCGUGGGGAGCAAACAGGAUUAGAUACCCUGGUAGUCCACGCUGUAAACGAUGAGUACUAGGUGUCGGGGGUUACCCCC